Molecule: ribosomal RNA, 438 nt
Filed under: Atkinsoniella dactylia
Lineage: Eukaryota; Metazoa; Arthropoda; Insecta; Hemiptera; Cicadellidae
Description: partial large subunit ribosomal RNA
Source: RNAcentral
UUCUGCCCUAUGAUUAUUUAAAUGGCUGCAGUAUAUUGACUGUGCAAAGGUAGCAUAAUAAUUAGUUGCUUAAUUGGCAACUUGAAUGAAUGAAUAUAUGAGGACAAGUUUUUAUUAAUAGAAUUUUUAUAAUUUUAUUUGUUAGUAAAAAAGCUAAUUUUUUUUUUAGGGACGAAAAGACCCUAUAGAACUUUAUUUAUAUGUGUUUUUGCUUUAAUUUUUAGAAAUUUUUAGGUUUAUUUAUAUUAUAUACUUGGUUGGGGUGGUAAAUAAAUUUAACUUUAUUUUUUUUAUUCAUUAAUUUAUGUAUUUUUGAUCCAAAUUAUAGAUUAAAAGUUUCAGUUACCUUAGGGAUAACAGCGUAAUUUUAAUGGGAAGUUCAUAUUUAUAUUAAAGUUUGCGACCUCGAUGUUGAAUUAAGAUUAAUUAAGGGGGUAG